GACGAACGCUGGCGGCGUGCCUAACACAUGCAAGUGGAGCGACGAACCGGACUUCGGUCCGGGGCAAAGCCGCGAACGGGUGAGUAACACGUGGGUAACCUGCCCCGAUGAUUGGGACAACCCGAGGAAACUCGGGCUAAUACCGAAUGUGCCCUACGGUCGCAAGACCGCUGGGGGAAAGGAAGCUUCGGCCUCCGCAUCGGGAUGGGCCCGCGGCCCAUUAGCUUGUUGGUGAGGUAAAGGCUCACCAAGGCCACGAUGGGGUAGCUGGUCUGAGAGGACGAUCAGCCACACUGGGACUGAGACACGGCCCAGACUCCUACGGGAGGCAGGCAGUGGGGAAUCUUGCGCAAUGCGCGAAAGCGUGACGCAGCAACGCCGCGUGGGGAAGACGGCCUCGG
RNAcentral lists this ribosomal RNA (401 nucleotides) under uncultured bacterium. RNAcentral describes it as "bacterial SSU rRNA". It matches the Rfam family "Bacterial small subunit ribosomal RNA", at positions 28 to 420 of the family's 1533-position model. The record is from RNAcentral.